GAUGCAACGCGAAGAACCUUACCAAGGCUUGACAUUCACCGGACCGCCCCAGAGAUGGGGUUUCCCUUCGGGGCUGGUGGACAGGUGGUGCAUGGUUGUCGUCAGCUCGUGUCGUGAGAUGUUGGGUUAAGUCCCGCAACGAGCGCAACCCUCGUUCUAUGUUGCCAGCACGUGAUGGUGGGGACUCAUAGGAGACUGCCGGGGUCAACUCGGAGGAAGGUGGGGAUGACGUCAAAUCAUCAUGCCCCUUAUGUCUUGGGCUUCACGCAUGCUACAAUGGCCGGUACAAAGGGUUGCGAUACUGUGAGGUGGAGCUAAUCCCAAAAAGCCGGUCUCAGUUCGGAUUGAGUUAGAGUUUGAUCAGGUC
RNAcentral lists this ribosomal RNA (367 nucleotides) under actinobacterium FA6a. Its description in RNAcentral is "bacterial SSU rRNA". It matches the Rfam family "Bacterial small subunit ribosomal RNA", at positions 953 to 1324 of the family's 1533-position model. Lineage: Bacteria; Bacillati; Actinomycetota; Actinomycetes. The record is from RNAcentral.